UCACUAUUUAGGUCGUUGGGU
RNAcentral lists this microRNA (21 nucleotides) under Sus scrofa (pig). Its description in RNAcentral is "ssc-miR-9837-5p". Lineage: Eukaryota; Metazoa; Chordata; Mammalia; Artiodactyla; Suidae. The record is from miRBase by way of RNAcentral.